AUAAUGGGUCAGCGACUUAUAUUCUGUAGCAAGGUUAACCGAAUAGGGGAGCCGAAGGGAAACCGAGUCUUAACUGGGCGUUAAGUUGCAGGGUAUAGACCCGAAACCCGGUGAUCUAGCCAUGGGCAGGUUGAAGGUUGGGUAACACUAACUGGAGGACCGAACCGACUAAUGUUGAAAAAUUAGCGGAUGACUUGUGGCUGGGGGUGAAAGGCCAAUCAAACCGGGAGAUAGCUGGUUCUCCCCGAAAGCUAUUUAGGUAGCGCCUCGUGAAUUCAUCUCCGGGGGUAGAGCACUGUUUCGGCAAGGGGGUCAUCCCGACUUACCAACCCGAUGCAAACUGCGAAUACCGGAGAAUGUUAUCACGGGAGACACACGGCGGGUGCUAACGUCCGUCGUGAAGAGGGAAACAACCCAGACCGCCAGCUAAGGUCCCAAAGUCAUGGUUAAGUGGGAAACGAUGUGGGAAGGCCCAGACAGCCAGGAUGUUGGCUUAGAAGCAGCCAUCAUUUAAAGAAAGCGUAAUAGCUCACUGGUCGAGUCGGCCUGCGCGGAAGAUGUAACGGGGCUAAACCAUGCACCGAAGCUGCGGCAGCGACGCUGAUGCGUUGUUGGGUAGGGGAGCGUUCUGUAAGCCUGCGAAGGUGUGCUGUGAGGCAUGCUGGAGGUAUCAGAAGUGCGAAUGCUGACAUA
RNAcentral lists this ribosomal RNA (693 nucleotides) under Escherichia coli. RNAcentral describes it as "partial 23S ribosomal RNA". It matches the Rfam family "Bacterial large subunit ribosomal RNA", at positions 612 to 1304 of the family's 2925-position model. The record is from RNAcentral. Lineage: Bacteria; Pseudomonadati; Pseudomonadota; Gammaproteobacteria; Enterobacterales; Enterobacteriaceae.